Long non-coding RNA from Erigeron canadensis, 446 nucleotides. RefSeq lists it as uncharacterized. Lineage: Eukaryota; Viridiplantae; Streptophyta; Magnoliopsida; Asterales; Asteraceae. The record is from RefSeq and is a predicted model, not a curated record. The transcript is spliced from 3 exons.
GAUCUCCUUAUUCUUUCUCUACUUCUUAUUUCUUUUUGAAUCUUUUAAUUCUCUUUCUCUUAUAAUCACUAUCUUAAUCUUUAGCCCCAAAACCCUAAUACUUUUUGUUGAUUGUUACAGAUCAGAUGAACGACGGUGAAGCUUGUCUCUCAUCAGAUCCACAACGCGGACCUCAUCUCCGAUCAGCUCCGAUGUUCUAUGCUCGUGUUUAGCUGGUGUUGGUAGGUUGCUACCGGUGGUGAUACAUCAUUCUAAAGCCUUCUUGAAAAAUCAGGAUGAUUAAUGUCUGGUUUUGAUGUGGGAUGUUGAUGGUGUUAAAUACUUGGCGGAUGAACAUGGAUCAUUUUUCGAUUUUUAGAGAGUUUUUGAUUUUGGAAGAUGAAGAUAAUGAAAAGGUAUGAAGAUGAUGAUCAGAAGGUAUGUUUCAUUUGAAUCAAGAAAUGAGG